UUCAAUUGAAGAGUUUGAUCAUGGCUCAGAUUGAACGCUGGCGGCAGGCCUAACACAUGCAAGUCGAGCGGUAACAGGAAAGCGCUUGCGCUUUUGCUGACGAGUGGCGGACGGGUGAGUAAUGUCUGGGGAUCUGCCCGAGGGCGGGGGAUAACCACUGGAAACGGUGGCUAAUACCGCAUAAUGUCGCGAGACCAAAGUGGGGGACCUGAAAGGGCCUCA
RNAcentral lists this ribosomal RNA (222 nucleotides) under Photorhabdus luminescens. RNAcentral's name for it is "partial 16S ribosomal RNA". It matches the Rfam family "Bacterial small subunit ribosomal RNA", at positions 1 to 215 of the family's 1533-position model. Lineage: Bacteria; Pseudomonadati; Pseudomonadota; Gammaproteobacteria; Enterobacterales; Morganellaceae. The record is from RNAcentral.